GACGAACGCUGGCGGCGUGCUUAACACAUGCAAGUCGAGCGAUGAAGCUCCUUCGGGAGUGGAUUAGCGGCGGACGGGUGAGUAACACGUGGGUAACCUGCCUCAUAGAGGGGAAUAGCCUUUCGAAAGGAAGAUUAAUACCGCAUAAGAUUGUAGCUUCGCAUGAAGUAGCAAUUAAAGGAGUAAUCCGCUAUGAGAUGGACCCGCGUCGCAUUAGCUAGUUGGUGAGGUAACGGCUCACCAAGGCGACGAUGCGUAGCCGACCUGAGAGGUGAUCGGCCACAUUGGGACUGAGACACGGCCCAGACUCCUACGGGAGGCAGCAGUGGGGAAUAUUGCACAAUGGGGGAAACCCUGAUGCAGCAACGCCGCGUGAGUGAUGACGGUCUUCGGAUUGUAAGGCUCUGUCUUCAGGGACGAUAAUGACGGUACCUGAGGAGGAAGCCACGGCUAACUACGUGCCAGCAGCCGCCGUAA
This 477-nucleotide ribosomal RNA is filed under the name uncultured bacterium. RNAcentral describes it as "partial 16S ribosomal RNA". It matches the Rfam family "Bacterial small subunit ribosomal RNA", at positions 28 to 523 of the family's 1533-position model. The record is from RNAcentral.